This 21-nucleotide microRNA is filed under the name Euprymna scolopes. Its description in RNAcentral is "Esc-Mir-124_3p (mature (guide))". The record is from RNAcentral. Lineage: Eukaryota; Metazoa; Mollusca; Cephalopoda; Sepiida; Sepiolidae.
UAAGGCACGCGGUGAAUGCGU